This 1886-nucleotide long non-coding RNA is filed under the name Homo sapiens (human). RNAcentral describes it as "HSALNT0284656". Lineage: Eukaryota; Metazoa; Chordata; Mammalia; Primates; Hominidae. The record is from RNAcentral.
CCCGGGUUCACGCCAUCUUGCCACUAAACCUGAUUUACCAACAUAACCUGUUUCUGGCCAUGCUGUGAAUCUGCAUUCUUUACUGUGUCCUUGGGAUACUAGGUCUCUGAUCAAGUGCCACAUCUUUAGAGAAGCUUUUCCAAACAACCUAAAUUGUGAAGAGAGUAACUAUACACCACAUGGCUUGACAAUAUCCAAACAUCAUUCUUGUUCUACAAAAGUUACAAAUGGAGAAGCCCUGGGAGAAUGCAGUCCACAGGGGUCUUUACAGUGUUCCAUAAUCAACUAUUUCUUGAACAAGCCAACUGGCCAAAAUCUCUGAAACAAUAUUGAAAAAUAUGGUGAGUCUUGUUCUUAAUUUUAAGAAGAAUGCUUUGAAGAUUUCAUGACUGUCAUGCUAGCUCUAAGUUUUUGGAAGAUGUCUUUUAUCCGUUUAAGAAAAUCCCCUUCUACCAAUAAGCUACUAAGAUUUUUCCUUUUAUCACAAAUGAUUUUUCACUUUAUUUAAUAACUUUCCCAAAUUUUUAAAGAUGAUUAUGAGUUUUUACUUCUUUCUCUUUAUAUGUAAGUUACAUUAAUAGAUGUUGAACUGUCCUUUCAUUCCUGGACAAAUGCCCCUUCAUUCCUGAACAAAGGCUAAUUUGUUCACAAACGUGUUAUUUAUUAAUGCAUUAUUAUAUUUAAUUUGCUAAUAUAUUGUUGAGGAUUGUUAUCUCUCUAUGUUUAUAAGUGUGUUUGGCCUGCAAAUUUUCUAUCUUAUACUGUCUUUUUCUGGUUUUGGUGUCGUGGUUAUGCAAUUUUCAUAAAGAGCUUUAAGAAGUAUGCCAUUUUUUCUCUUUUUUGAAAGUUUUGUUAAGUAUGUUCUUUGAAUGCUUGUCAGAAUUUGUCCGUAACAACUUUUGAUCAUUCAUAUUUGCAAUUCUUAUGUAUUUAAGUUUGGUAACUUACUAUUUUUUUUCUUGGAUUUUCUCUAUUUUACCUAAGUUUCAAAUUUAUUAACAAAAGUUUCUUCAGAAUAUUGUCUUCUAUUUUUAUUUAGCUAUGUUUUUAUUUUAUUUCUAAUAUCGGUUAUAUGUAUCUUCUCAUUUUUCUUCUUCUUUAAAGAGCUUGUUUAAUGUCAUUAGUGUUUUCAGAGAAUCAACUUUUGUGUUUAUUGAUUUUUCACUAUUUCAACUUUAUUUUCUAUUUCAUCAAUUUCUCUUCCUAGUUUUUUUCUUAUCAUUUUCUUUCUUCUGCUUUCCCUGGUUUCAUUCAGUUGAUAUUUAUUUGUCUUUGAAUGUUGAUUUUAAUGAGAAUAAAAUUAUUGUCUGUCAAUCAUUUUUCUCAGUACUUUGUAUACAUCAUUCUACAGACAUAUGGCUUCGUAGCUGAUGUUCAGAAAUCAGCUGUUAAUCUAAGCUUUAUUUCAUUUAGAUAAUCUGAUUAGAUUGAUAUUGGAUCUUCUCAUACUAAUCUUCAUGAUUAUUAAAGUUUUAAUAUGUCUUUAAUAAAUUCUGAAUUAUCUCUCUAGCUCUAUUUCUUAACUUAAAAUUUCUUUCUGCAGUGUUGUUAAAUCUUAUCAUUAUGCCAUCUGUUGAGCAUUUAAUUUCGGUGAUCAUAUAUUUUUUAUUUCUACAUGUUCUACUUAGUUUUUUCUCAUGUUUUUUUCUUAUCUGUUUACUCCUUUUUUAUUUUAAGUACUUUAUAUAAACUUAUAUUUGGAAUGUGAACUGAAUUCAAUAUCUGUAAUUAUUAUAAAUUCUCUAGUUUCUUGUUUCUGCUGAUUCUUACUUAUUGUAACUUAUUUCCUCAUGUGCUUAGUAAUUUAUUUUUAUUGUUAUUUCAUAUUCCUUGUAAUUUGAUCUGGGGACUCAUUGAGGCCUUUAUUAAAAUGUGUUCUUCCAGAA